RNAcentral lists this ribosomal RNA (359 nucleotides) under uncultured bacterium. RNAcentral describes it as "bacterial SSU rRNA". It matches the Rfam family "Bacterial small subunit ribosomal RNA", at positions 774 to 1127 of the family's 1533-position model. The record is from RNAcentral.
ACGUAAUAGAUACCCUGGUAGUCCACGCCCUAAACGAUGUCUACUAGUUGUUGGUGGAGUAAAAUCCAUGAGUAAACGCAGCUAAACGCGUGAAGUAGACCGCCUGGGGAGUACGGUCGCAAGAUUAAAACUCAAAUGAAUUGACGGGGGCCCGCACAAGCGGUGGAUUAUGUGGAUUAAUUCGAUGCAACGCGAAAACCUUACCUGGCCUUGACAUGUAACGAACUUUCCAGAGAUGGAUUGGUGCUCGAAAGAGAACGUUAACACAGGUGCUGCAUGGCUGUCGUCAGCUCGUGUCGUGAGAUGUUGGGUUAAGUCCCGCAACGAGCGCAACCCUUGCCAUUAAUUGCCAUCAUUUA